Beta vulgaris subsp. vulgaris (sugar beet) is the source of this 88-nucleotide small nucleolar RNA. It matches the Rfam family "small nucleolar RNA snoR114". The record is from Rfam. NCBI's taxonomy places the organism in Eukaryota, Viridiplantae, Streptophyta, Magnoliopsida, Caryophyllales, Amaranthaceae.
AAGCAGUGAGGAAAUUUGCGUCUUUAGUGGCAGUUGGGUCCGCCACACUGCAUCUGACCCCAGAUAAGACAAGUGCGCAUCUGAGCAU